CCCUGUAUGUACCGAUAGUACAAAAAUUAAGGUUAUACACCCUGUAUGUACCGAUAAUACAAAAAUUAAGGUUAUACACCCUGUGAGUACCGAUAAUACAAAAAGUAAGGUUAUACACCCUGUGAGUACCGAUAAUAAAAAAAUUGGGUAAUACACCCUGUAUGUACCGAUAAUACAAAAAGUAAGUUUAUACACCCUGUGAAUACCGACAAUACAAAAGUAAGGUUAGACACCCUGUGAGUACCGAUAGUACAAAAAGUAAGGUCAUACACCCUGUGAGUACCGACAAUACAAAAAGUAAGGUCAUACACCCUGUGAGUACCGAUAAUACAAAAAGUAAGGUUAUACACCCUGUGAGUACCGAUAAUACAAAAAGUAAGGUUAUACACCCUGUGAGUACCGACAAUACAAAAAGUAAGGUUAUACACCCUGUGAGUACCGAUAGUACAAAAAAUAAGGUUAUACACCCUGUGAGUACCGAUAGUACAAAAAGUAAGGUUAUACACCCUGUGAGAACCGAUAAUACAAAAAGUAAGGUCAUAAACCCUGUGAGUACCGAUAAUACAAAACGUCAGGUUAUACACCCUAUGAGUACCGAUGGUACAAAAAGUAAGGUUAUACACCCUAUGAGUAGCGAAAGUACAAAAAGUAUGGUUAUACACCCUGUGAGUACCAAUAGUACAUAAAGUAAGGUUAUACACCCUGUGAGAACCGAUAAUACAAAAAGUAAGGUCAUACAUCCUGUGAGUACCGGUAGUACAAACGGUAAGGUUAUAUAUAUACAUCCUGUGAGUAUCGAUGGUACAAAAAGUAAGGUUAUACACCCUGUGAGUACCGAUGGUACAAAAGUUAAGGUUAUACACCCUAUGAGUACUUCCCUUUCAAUACGUCUAUUAUUGACUGACACUAAAGUCAAUCUAUUUAAACAUAGAAAAGGCAAGCUUUUUGACGAGGGUAUGAAAACAAAUUCUCUGUUGCAGGACUCUUGUAAACAACCCUAUCGAGAUAAUAGAGGAAGGUGCUUUUUCGACAUUUCACGAUCUUCAAACACUGUACCUCGUGGGUUCCAAUGUGCAAAUAAUUGACGUCGGUAGCACGUUCUCGUCGCGUUCUCUCACCAUCGCUCUCUUUGCUGGUAAAAAUCUGCCAGGUGUGGAAGGAGAAGCUAUUACCCGGAGUAUCCUUCGCGCUUCUGGCUAUGAAUGCCCCAGAGAACAAUCAGCCUGGGACACGUGUUAUCCCUGCACUCAGGGCCAGUACAAAAUCGACGGCUCCUACUACGACCAAUGCACCGACUGCCCCCCAGGUGGGUUCUACCAAGAUAGUAUCGCCCAUAUCGGGGUGAUCUCACAUGGCCUGGGCUGCAAACAGUGCCCGGUGGGUGCCUAUGUUAGCCCCACCCAGGCCCCUGGACGAGUGGAGG
This is a long non-coding RNA of Nematostella vectensis (starlet sea anemone), 1423 nucleotides long. RefSeq lists it as uncharacterized. The record is from RefSeq and is a predicted model, not a curated record. The transcript is spliced from 4 exons. NCBI's taxonomy places the organism in Eukaryota, Metazoa, Cnidaria, Anthozoa, Actiniaria, Edwardsiidae.